AGGCCACAUGAUGCCCCAUGACACGACUCCUCCCAGGAGGACGGAGACGUUAACGAUGUAAGGGCAGAUCAUCCCGACGCCGACGUACGUCGCCGAGAAGUCGAAGAAGAACCUGCGAUAAGCAUCGAACAGCAUCUGCAGAGCCUCGAGGCCCAGCGUCGGGAAGGACAUGAAGCCGCAGCCCUCGCCGGCGGUGUAGAACCACUGGAAGAAGCCCCAAGUGAAGCUGCCGGCAAAGAAUUUCCCCAGCGUCCUGACCUGCCUCCUGCAGCAAUCAGUUCAGACACAUGCAUUUCAGGUUAUGAGAACAGUUACCAGAAACAGAGAUAGAUACAGUCUCUGCAUCAGAGAGUAGUCAGUGUACUUGGCAAGCUUGGCGCCCUGGGGAGUGUGGAAGCUGUUGAUGAGGUGGGCAGUGGCAGUGCCACUCGGGUAGAUGAGCUUGUAAUCGAUGAUCAUUAUCUGAACACAACGAACAACACCAUCAUCAAACUAACCAUGCUGGACUGGACAAAUUGGAGUGUCAAUCAUAGUUUAAUAAUGAAUGUGUGUACCUUCCUCAGGGGCACCACAGAGAAGAGGCCGAGGAAGCUGACGAUGAAGAGGAAGCCGAUCAUCCAGCCCAAGGCGGGGUUCUUGAUGUUGUGCUCGUCCAAGGUUUCCCCCGACUGCUCGCUGAUCCUCUCGCUCAUCCCGAACAUGUAACUUCCAAACCCACCUGCAGAAUAGGCAGAUCAGCGAAGCAAUCCAUUCGAGAGGAAGGGACUGAAAUCUCUGACGCCGAACAGAGAAAGCUGCUGUCGAUACCGAAAAGGAACUGCAGGGUUCCAUUGCAUUCCCAAAUCUCCAUUUUUGGACCA
This is a long non-coding RNA of Setaria italica (foxtail millet), 860 nucleotides long. RefSeq lists it as uncharacterized. The transcript is spliced from 2 exons. The record is from RefSeq and is a predicted model, not a curated record. Lineage: Eukaryota; Viridiplantae; Streptophyta; Magnoliopsida; Poales; Poaceae.